GGAGGAUUAGCUCAGCUGGGAGAGCACCUGCCUUACAAGCAGGGGGUCGGCGGUUCGARCCCGUCAUCCUCCACCA
Molecule: transfer RNA, 76 nt
Filed under: Bacillus sp. LL01
Lineage: Bacteria; Bacillati; Bacillota; Bacilli; Caryophanales; Bacillaceae
Description: tRNA-Val
Rfam family: tRNA
About the family: Transfer RNA (tRNA) molecules are approximately 80 nucleotides in length. Their secondary structure includes four short double-helical elements and three loops (D, anti-codon, and T loops).
Source: RNAcentral